This 410-nucleotide ribosomal RNA is filed under the name uncultured bacterium. RNAcentral describes it as "partial 16S ribosomal RNA". It matches the Rfam family "Bacterial small subunit ribosomal RNA", at positions 355 to 758 of the family's 1533-position model. The record is from RNAcentral.
UGGGGAAUUUUGGACAAUGGGCGAAAGCCUGAUCCAGCAAUGCCGCGUGUGUGAAGAAGGCCUUCGGGUUGUAAAGCACUUUUGUCCGGAAAGAAAUCCUUGGCUCUAAUACAGUCGGGGGAUGACGGUACCGGAAGAAUAAGCACCGGCUAACUACGUGCCAGCAGCCGCGGUAAUACGUAGGGUGCAAGCGUUAAUCGGAAUUACUGGGCGUAAAGCGUGCGCAGGCGGUUUGCUAAGACCGAUGUGAAAUCCCCGGGCUCAACCUGGGAACUGCAUUGGUGACUGGCAGGCUAGAGUAUGGCAGAGGGGGGUAGAAUUCCACGUGUAGCAGUGAAAUGCGUAGAGAUGUGAGGAAUACCGAUGGCGAAGGCAGCCCCUGGGCCAAGUACUGACGCUCAUGCACGAAA